AACGCGGAGUUGUCGAAGCUUUCUCUCAAGGUUAUCAAGAACUUCGGGCUGAGAUUCACGAGUAACACGAACUGCAGCCGCAGCUUCAUCGACCAAGUCGAUGGCAGAAUCUGGAAGACGACGAGAAGUUAGGUACCGGGAAGCGAGAUGGGCAGCAGUAACCAAGGCACGGUCAGAGAUAGUAACACCAUGAUGAACCUCAUACUUUUCUUUAAGACCACGAAGGAUAGAAAUCGUAUCUUCAAUAGAAGGCUCUUUUACCAAGAUGAUUUGGAAUCUACGUUCGAAAGCAGCAUCUUUUUCGAUGUAUUUCUUGUAUUCAGCCAAAGUAGUAGCACCAAUACAGUGAAGCUUACCACGUGCAAGCAUUGGCUUCAGCAAAUUGGCAGCGUCCAUGCCACCUUCACCACCGGAACCUGCGCCCAUUAAAAGAUGCAUUUCAUCUACGAAUAAAAUAAUGGGAGUUUCACUUUCUUCAACUUCUUUUAAAACAGAUUUGAUACGCUCUUCAAAUUCACCACGAAAUUUGGAGCCGGCAACUAAGCUUCCGACGUCCAGGCUGAGAAGCUUACAAUUCGAAAGAUUAGCGGGGACAUCAUCGUCAAUUAUACGACGAGCAAGUCCUUCAGCAAUGGAGGUCUUACCUACACCAGGCUCACCAAUAAGAACUGGAUUAUUUUUCGUUCUUCUAGAAAGUACGCGAAUUGUACGACGAAUUUCAUCUUCACGUCCGAUAACUGGAUCCAGUUGACCAUUUCUAGCGAGCUCUGUAAGAUCAACAGUAAAUUUAUUUAGUGCAUCAAAUCCUUCCUCGGCAUUCUUUGAAUCGAUUCUUUUAUUACCACGGACGUUAUUUACAGCAAAUUCAAACGCUUUCGGGGUGACACCGGCUUCUGCCAAUAAACUCUUUAGCGUGUCGUCUUUAGUGAACACAGCGAUAAAAUGAUCUUGAGCAAUGUAAGAAUCUUUUUGUGUUUUUUGAAGUUCAUGAGCAUUUCGCAGCAGUUUCGCACUUUCAGGUGACAGAGUCACUUGUUCUGGAGGUGGAUCCUGAGCAGGCAAGCGAACUAACCGACUAGUAACACUUCGCUCAAACUUUUGACCAUCACCACCAGCUUUGUCGACGAUGGUGCGCAGUAAGGUAGUACCGUUACUGUCACUGUCGGACAAAAGAGCAGCAGCAAUGUGAAUAGGGGUUAAUUGUGAAUGACCAUAAGAUUGUGCAAUUGAGUACGCAUCAGACAAUGUCUUUGCGGCUUUGUCAGUAAAAGGAUAAUCAGCCAUAUCGAGUUAUAUUAUUAUAGGAAUUUUUAUAAUUUAUAGAUAAAUCCAAAAAAAAGGAAUUGUAUAUUUGUCGCUCGUUAUAAAACAAAAAAGAGAGAGUCGUUGAACGGUAAAUAUAUACGGUUUUCAGUUCGAUUUAAUAAGAACUUAAUAUCGUUAUUAUAAUAAAUUCUUCGGUUAUAGAUUGAUGGUUGAGGAUGCCGCAGGUAGAGAAGCUGUGCAUAUAUAUACACGAUGAUGUUACUAUGGGAAGGAAAGGAACAUACCAGAAGAUGCCAGUUACAUUGUUACUCGAACCUACUCCUACACUCUAGAAAAAGAAAGGGAUAAAGUAGGGUAAAUCCCAAAGACAUGACUAGAAGAUUUAAAAAAAUAAGAGAAAAAUAGCUUAAAAAAAAACCGGUGUAAAUUAAAAAUGCAGUUACCUUAAAAGUCUUUGAAUUGUCUUUAAACAUGGAAUACUCGAAACCCGGAAAUGAUCUGCGUAUUACGUAGUGUAUGGAACAACGUAAAGACGGAUACUAACCUCAACUUAUUCUCAAUUGCAUCUUGCUAAAUACCGUUAGAAUUCAUCAAUGACUGAAUAAAUAAUUUUUUGAUACAUAGUUCUUCUAUUACAGAGAUUCUAGUCAUAUUUCCAAGCUAUUUCUAAGAUAGAGCUCUUACAUUACUUAUUCUAUACGGUAGCGAUUAUUCGUCGUAAUGACAUUUAACGAACUUUAGUUACUUGACCAUAGUGGUUUAUAAACUAAACAAACCAACAGUGAAUUCUUGUUAACGUAACUGUAAUCUACGAAUAUUGAGAAGAAAAAAAAACGAAUGAAUUUGUUGUGAAUACAUAUUUUUUCCUUAGCGAACAAGUAUACUUCAUUCUUAUUUUCAUACCUCUUUAGUCUUAUUUAAACCAGCAAUAAAAUUCGUU
Non-coding RNA from Schizosaccharomyces pombe (fission yeast), 2206 nucleotides. NCBI's taxonomy places the organism in Eukaryota, Fungi, Ascomycota, Schizosaccharomycetes, Schizosaccharomycetales, Schizosaccharomycetaceae. The record is from the annotation of a GenBank genome assembly.